GACGAACGCUGGCGGCGUGCUUAACACAUGCAAGUCGAGCGGUAAGGCCCUUUCGGGGGUACACGAGCGGCGAACGGGUGAGUAACACGUGGGUGACCUGCCCUUAGCUCUGGGAUAAGCCUGGGAAACUGGGUCUAAUACCGGAUAUGACUCCAUAACGCAUGUUGUGGGGUGGAAAGCCUUGUGCGGCUAGGGAUGGGCCCGCGGCCUAUCAGCUUGUUGGUGGGGUGAUGGCCACCAAGGCGACGACGGGUAGCCGGCCUGAGAGGGCGACCGGCCACACUGGGACUGAGACACGGCCCAGACUCCUACGGGAGGCAGCAGUGGGGAAUCUUGCGCAAUGGGCGAAAGCCUGACGCAGCGACGCCGCGUGGGA
RNAcentral lists this ribosomal RNA (376 nucleotides) under uncultured bacterium. Its description in RNAcentral is "bacterial SSU rRNA". It matches the Rfam family "Bacterial small subunit ribosomal RNA", at positions 28 to 406 of the family's 1533-position model. The record is from RNAcentral.